RNAcentral lists this long non-coding RNA (856 nucleotides) under Mytilus galloprovincialis (Mediterranean mussel). Lineage: Eukaryota; Metazoa; Mollusca; Bivalvia; Mytilida; Mytilidae. The record is from RNAcentral.
AUACUGGAAAUCAUAUAUGAUACUUAAGAAGGAAAAUGAAAUAUGCAUGUCCAAAUGGUUGCAACAACAAAAAAUGAAGCGUGUCUGUAAAAUAGCUACCAAGCUCUAAUAGCUAUAGUUAGAAGGAAUAACUCAAAUGGAUAGUUAAUCAUUGGUAAGCACAGAGUGAACAAAAUAUAAAUUUAAUAUAUACAUGUAUAUGGUAAAAUAUACAUGUAUGACUGUUAUUUGACAACCAUAUAACCUACAACAAUGAGCCAAACCAAGCACAUUAGCAUCUAUAUAAAGACAUCAAAAGUGCAGAACAAUUCAAAAGAAAACUGAUGUCCUGAUUGUUUUGUACAAGAUAAAAAAUACAACCACUGAAGUCAUAAUAUAUGAACAUUUUGUAUGUUAUUGCGGUUUCAUUACCAUUAAUUAUAAAACAAAACAAAACAUUCUGACAACUUGUUUUUGAGAGCUUCACCUUGACUGAAUUUCAGUGUUAAACAAAACUCAAUUAUUGAUAACAGUUGUUGAAUCUUAAAUUAUUACUGAGUGAAGAUUUCAAAUAUUGACUCAUGUUAUAAGGGACAUAACUCUCAUACAAUAUGAAAAAUAUCUGUCAUGAAAACAUUUUCCAUUAAAUACAAAUUAACAUUUUUUUUUAUUUUCAGAAUUCAACAUUAGAAAAUUGUUACUCAAGUUUGAUUUGUUUCCUUGUUGGCAUACCAACAACCUCACCAGCUGAUAAUCAAGUUGUUCAAGUGAUUUUAAACAACAGAACUGUUUGCUUUUCAGGCUACAUUUUAUGACUCUAAAAUUGAAUAAUUAUACAAAUGUAUACUAAUACAGUACUGAAAUCUUUGAAAAGGGG